RNAcentral lists this long non-coding RNA (2058 nucleotides) under Homo sapiens (human). RNAcentral describes it as "HSALNT0120656". Lineage: Eukaryota; Metazoa; Chordata; Mammalia; Primates; Hominidae. The record is from RNAcentral.
CUCACACACAGACACACAGACACAUGCACCACAUUAUCUUUAUUUUUCUCAUUGGCUACAGAUCAGACCGGAUUAGACUUGGUCCUGUGGGGAGGCACUGUUCUAGAAGUAACACCGAAUCUGUCUUCUCCGGCUAUAGAACACCAGGAGUCAGGGCAUCUAGCAACCUUCCAUGGGACCCAGCAAAAGAGGCAUCACAAACUGCUGGCAAGCCUGCAUCUCCAUACUGCCCAGAGGCCAGACAUCUCCAUGGAACUGACAGGGCAGCAGUCACAAAUUCUAACCACCCCGUGCUAGAUUUCUCUAGGCAUGUGGAGAGCCAGGUGCUCUUUCCAUUUCGCAUGUGAAAAAACUAAGACAUAAAGAGGUUAAAGGAUUUUUCUAAUUAACAUUGAUUCAGUGGUGAAAAUAGGACAAGAAAGCACAUUUUAAAGCUGGGGCCAUUGUUCAAAGAUUUGAGGGCAAUGUACCCAGCCACCUAUCCACUCUGCAGGCAAGACAAACAGAACAAGUAGGGCAACUAUAAAUCUGCUGGCAUCAAUCGGCACAACAAAAAUAGCACUACUAGUGCCUUUUUUAUUCCCAAGAAAAUGUGUCCUCUAUAGCCAAUUAUUUAAAGAAAAGUUCACAUGUGAGUGAUUUUUUUUUUUUUAGAUAUAAACAUGAAGGCCAGGUGCGGCGGCUUACACCCGUAAUCCCAGCACUUUGGGAAGAGUGAAGUGGAGGAAGAGGUACAUUCAACUACAGAGGAGGAAACUGAGGCCCAGAGGGGAAAAGUGACUUGAUUGACAAAAAUUGGAUUCUGGUCUUUGUUCUGCCAAAGGCUGCCAGAACCUUUCCUUGUAGUGCAAGAACAACCACACUGCUGGAAGUGAAAUUUGCAAUCUGCUCUAUCAGAUGAUUUCUGCGCAUGGGCUGUUACUAUGUUCAAAGCAUUAAACUGCCUGAAAGUGGAUUAUUUACAGAGCUUCUCUCUUCCCAGAGCUACGGAUAGGUGGCAAUUCAGCCUCUUCACCCUAAUGCACACUUUCUCACUUUCCACCGAGACUCUUUGUUUGCUGACAGCAUCUGGCUAUCCUGAGUACUUGCCUUAGCUGGCACAGUUCUCUCCAAUCCCUAGAAGAAACAGCCUUCACCUACACUCCAGGGAUGAAAUAACAUUUCAGCUCAAAGCUAGCAACCUUUCUCUGAAAUGGUGUCACACCCAGACAGAAAAAUAAAUGUGCUGUUUCUUCUUAGAUGAUGAGAAGUCAGGCUUUCAGGCAGACUUUUGACACAGGGAGGAUCAAGGUUUGACUGCCUUUGAGUAAUCCUUGCAGAAAAAACAGCACCUAAUUGGACAAAGGAAGAAAGGAACCAGCUGCUACUGUCAAGAUUAUUUAAACACCCAUCCACAGUCAAAAACACUGCAUUGUUUCAUUACAAGUGAAAUUUGAUUGCCACUACAUUUCCUGCUGGCCUCCCCUCUAUGCAAAUUGGGGAGAAGAAAGAAAUUCAUAAGGCACCAGAACCCAUUUGGCUUCUAAAUGUACUGUUUGCAUAUAGACAUCAGCAGCCUGAAUAAAUCCUAGCGAGGAAUGUCAAACUGACAACACUGGCUACUUUUCUAUUGUUCUCCCUGAAAACAUCGUUUUUAACACGUUCACAAAGCCACUAAAUCUGUGUUGCUGAGUCUGCUGUUUGCAUGCAGGAAUGUGAAGGACUGCUCAAGUUGGAGAUACAAAUUGAAGCCAGCCCCAGUUCAAAACUGUUACAAAUGGAGUCUGUAGGCAUGAGGGGCUGACUAUAUAACUCAGAGUUCUCCAGUACUUUACUUUAAUAAAGAACACAAUCUUUAUUAAAGGAUAAGUAAUAAAAAUGUGUUGAUGUGCAACUUAUGGAUCUAUUAUUAAAACUCAACAGUCAUUGCAGCAAUGUUUAGAACUUAAGCAAACAAAAGUUUUGUGAGGGGGCAAUUUUAUCAAUGACAUUGUUUAGAAAUGUUGGUAGAUGGUGAUCAUAAAAAGCAGAUCAAUGUUUUAUUUCACUUGGGUUUUUAAAAAUUAUUUUUAAAAAAUU